Molecule: non-coding RNA, 93 nt
Organism: Mycena polygramma
Lineage: Eukaryota; Fungi; Basidiomycota; Agaricomycetes; Agaricales; Mycenaceae
Source: the annotation of a GenBank genome assembly
UCGGGCGUAGUGUACGGCACACGGCUGGCUGUCCUAUGUCGUGACCGUAUCUAGCGUAGCUAGCAGUCUGGGGUUCGACUCCCCGCGUUCGAA